This 468-nucleotide ribosomal RNA is filed under the name uncultured bacterium. Its description in RNAcentral is "partial 16S ribosomal RNA". It matches the Rfam family "Bacterial small subunit ribosomal RNA", at positions 28 to 507 of the family's 1533-position model. The record is from RNAcentral.
GACGAACGCUGGCGGCGUGCUUAACACAUGCAAGUCGAACGGAAAGGCCCUGCUUUUGUGGGGUGCUCGAGUGGCGAACGGGUGAGUAACACGUGAGUAACCUGCCCUUGACUUUGGGAUAACUUCAGGAAACUGGGGCUAAUACCGGAUAGGAGCUCCUGCUGCAUGGUGGGGGUUGGAAAGUUUCGGCGGUUGGGGAUGGACUCGCGGCUUAUCAGCUUGUUGGUGGGGUAGUGGCUUACCAAGGCUUUGACGGGUAGCCGGCCUGAGAGGGUGACCGGCCACCUUGGGACUGAGAUACGGCCCAGACUCCUACGGGAGGCAGCAGUGGGGAAUAUUGCACAAUGGGCGGAAGCCUGAUGCAGAAACGCCGCGUGCGGGAUGACGGCCUUCGGGUUGUAAACCGCUUUCGCCUGUGACGAAGCGUGAGUGACGGUAAUGGGUAAAGAAGCACCGGCUAACUACGUG